UACGUAGGGGGCAAGCGUUGUCCGGAUUCAUUGGGCGUAAAGAGCGUGUAGGCGGCCAGGUAGGUCGGUUGUGAAAACUGGCGGCUCAACCUUCAGAGGUCGACCGAAACCAUCUGGCUAGAGUCCGGGAGAGGAGAGUGGAAUUCCUGGUGUAGCGGUGAAAUGCGCAGAUAUCAGGAAGAACACCCGUGGCGAAAGCGGCUCUCUGGAACGGUACUGACGCUGAGACGCGAAAGCGUGGGGAGCGAACAGG
RNAcentral lists this ribosomal RNA (253 nucleotides) under uncultured bacterium. Its description in RNAcentral is "partial 16S ribosomal RNA". It matches the Rfam family "Bacterial small subunit ribosomal RNA", at positions 524 to 776 of the family's 1533-position model. The record is from RNAcentral.